RNAcentral lists this long non-coding RNA (348 nucleotides) under Musa acuminata (dwarf banana). Its description in RNAcentral is "long non-coding RNA (MACU_LNC003664)". Lineage: Eukaryota; Viridiplantae; Streptophyta; Magnoliopsida; Zingiberales; Musaceae. The record is from RNAcentral.
GUCGAUCCACCAGCAACCAAUUGCAUCAUGUGAUAUCGGAACGUCGACGUCGAGUGAAGCUCAAUGACAGCUUUGAUACACUCAGUACGCUGCUUCCUCCUGCAUCAAAGGUAUGCAUAACAGUGUCAAUGCAUCAUUUUUAGGAUCCGAAACAAGAUAAUGUUAAUCCUGUGGAUUUCAUCUCCUUUCUCUGUCUUGCUUUAUGAUAGAAAGACAAGGCUUCGGUGCUGAUCAAUACAAGGAACUACCUGAACACAUUGAGAACUCAAAUCACGGAGCUGGAGGAGAAGAACCGAAGUCUGGAGACGCAUCUUUGUACAGAUGAAGCUCGUCAAGGCGAUGGCUCCG